This 707-nucleotide long non-coding RNA is filed under the name Lactuca sativa (garden lettuce). RNAcentral describes it as "long non-coding RNA (LSAT_LNC007859)". Lineage: Eukaryota; Viridiplantae; Streptophyta; Magnoliopsida; Asterales; Asteraceae. The record is from RNAcentral.
AUUUAAACUGUAUAUGUAUUUUAUAUCUACGAAAAUGUUGNUAUAUCUAUGAAAAUGUUGGGGUAAAACAUGGGUAGAUGUAAUAGGUGAUGUGUGAUAAAAUGAUGAGAGGCCUCGAUGUUGGUGUUGUUGAUUCUGUCAUCCAGCGGAGUAUGGAUGACGACCACGGACUCUUCUAGACAGUCCAUUGGAACACUAGCAGGCUCGCAACCUGUAGGUGUUUGUGAACGAUGUGUUCACCGGUGUACUCCAUCCCCCACAUGGUUGCCUUUAGGACAUUUAUUGCUGAGGAAUCCCCUUAGCAAUAGUGUCCAUCCCGAUAAUGAUCCUUAGGCUAGGUCCCUCAUGAUAGGUGUUUAGGGACGUAAAGUGAGGAUAACGGGAACGGGUAAUCGGGUUAUUGUUGAUUGAUGAAAUUAAUAAACUUAUUUGUUGUUGGUUGAAAACCCUAUGUAUUACAGGUAGUGGCGCUUGAGCAUAGAUAUAAUGUUUGGACAAGGGAUUACGGAUAUAGGCCUGUAGAUAUGAAAUAAUGUAGUAAGGCUUAUAUUGUACUGUUUAUGCUUUUGAUCUGUACGAACAUGACAUCCCAAGUCUUUUAAUGAAAUACAUUUCUAUGGAAAUGCUUUUGAUAAAUCUUUAUCAUAUUUUGUUUUGGGACAAAUUCCGCAACACUUUUAUUUAAAAUGUUACUAUGAUUUUUAAAC